Molecule: ribosomal RNA, 468 nt
Filed under: uncultured bacterium
Lineage: Bacteria
Description: partial 16S ribosomal RNA
Rfam family: Bacterial small subunit ribosomal RNA
Source: RNAcentral
GACGAACGCUGGCGGCGUGCUUAACACAUGCAAGUCGAACGGAAAGGCCCUGCUUUUGUGGGGUGCUCGAGUGGCGAACGGGUGAGUAACACGUGAGUAACCUGCCCUUGACUUUGGGAUAACUUCAGGAAGCUGGGGCUAAUACCUGAUAGGAGCUCCUGCUGCAUGGUGGGGGUUGGAAAGUAUCGGCGGUGGGGGAUGGACUCGCGGCUUAUCAGCUUGUUGGUUGGGUAGUGGCUUACCAAGGCUUUGACGGGUAGCCGGCCUGAGAGGGUGACCGGCCACAAUGGGACUGAGAUACGGCCCAGACUCCUACGGGAGGCAGUAGUGGGGAAUAUUGCACAAUGGGCGGAAGCCUGAUGCAGCAACGCCGCGUGCGGGAUGACGGCCUUCGGGUUGUAAACCGCUGUCGCUUGUGACGAAGCGGGAGUGACGGUAAUGGGUAAAGAAGCACCGGCUAACUACGUG